AUAGGCAGAUCUGAAAAACUGAAAUAAUUGCUGAAUAGUAAACUGGAAAAAAACACAGAGGGGAAAAAAAAAAAAAAAAGCAGCUAUAAUAAUUUCAUUCAUAGAUAACUAGUGUUAGAUAAAAUUGGUUUUAUUUACUAAAGACUGUAAUUUGCAGCUUUAUCAGAACAUUUCUAUAAAUUCAAGAGUCAUUAAUUUGAACAGCUCUGUUACAAAGACGAUUUGUUAAUAGUUUAGCAAAAGGGAUGAGACCCCAGCAUCUUGGCCACUGACAGAAUAGCACACCAUGAGACCUGCUGGUCACCACAGGACUGGUCUGGCAGCUUGUGGCAGUUGCACUUCCACCCCGCAGAGAACUGCUGUGGCAGUUGCAUAUCCUCCUCUGAGAACUGGAGCCUUCAAUGGGGCAGUUAAUGGCUCUUUUGUGGGGCCUGGAGAUAGUUGACAGGGUCGUUAGCAGAGGAGGGGCCUGGAGAAGCUGAGAAGCUUCUGGAAUGCCCACAGUCAGAGGUGGUCAUACUAUAAAACAGGGUUCCCACCGAAGAUUCCCUUUGUGUGGUCACCUUGGAACAGCACGCCUGCUGAGCCGGAGCCCUCCCCUUAGACUGGAAACCCUUCUAAGGAAACUUCCCGGGAUGGGGAGCGACUCACCUCCUCAUUUGGCUGAGCAAGGGGUCAUCAGAAAGGCAUUCAUGGAGACACCCUCCGAAAUGGAUCAGGAAUGACAGUCUGUGAAAAUUGAAUGCAAAAUAUGUGAGAUCAGCCUAAUGGAAUAGUGUUCCACCCCUCCAUCACCUAGCUGAAGGCAGAAGGGAAGCAUUAAGACUCCGCUGUCACAGACUGUUCUGUCACCGCCUACUAACCAUUCUAACUUGGAAUGUCCCUAAGAAAGCUGGAAAUGCCACUGUAGAGUUUUGGAAUUAAAACCCAGACAGAGCUGGGGAUAAGGGAAGAAAAAUAUAUAGAGAGGUUCUAUUUUUUCCUGUGACUAGGGUAACAAGGAUCUAUGACAAGUCUAUAUUAGGAUAUAUCACUAAGAUCAGUUGUGCUAACUUGAAAUUUACUGCAAAGACACAGACAUGGAGCAUAUUUUGAAUCAAAAG
Long non-coding RNA from Columba livia (rock pigeon), 1103 nucleotides. RefSeq lists it as uncharacterized. The transcript is spliced from 3 exons. Lineage: Eukaryota; Metazoa; Chordata; Aves; Columbiformes; Columbidae. The record is from RefSeq and is a predicted model, not a curated record.